GGGAGGGUCGUCUAAAUGGUUAAGACACUCAAGCCAAUUUCGUUAAGGCUUCGAGAGAUCCUGGGUUCGAAUCCCGGUCACCCCA
This is a non-coding RNA of Chlamydomonas reinhardtii, 85 nucleotides long. NCBI's taxonomy places the organism in Eukaryota, Viridiplantae, Chlorophyta, Chlorophyceae, Chlamydomonadales, Chlamydomonadaceae. The record is from Rfam.